CAGGGAGACAACAAAAUGUAAAUAUUAAUUUUGUCACCUUAGGUCGAUCGGUAUCUCAGAUUCUUAAUUAUUUAAGAAUUUCAGUUUCUAAGUUUUUUCUAGGUCACACCCAUCACUUUUUCCUGGGCCAUUAGCUCAGGUGGUUAGAGCGCACCCCUGAUAAGGGUGAGGUCCCUGGUUCAAGUCCAGGAUGGCCCAUAUCUCUAUGUUGGGGGUAUAGCUCAGUUGGUAGAGCGCCUGCUUUGCAAGCAGGAUGUCAGCGGUUCGAGUCCGCUUACCUCCACUGAAUACCACCUCUUACAUAUAGUUGAAGUGGGAAAUUGUUUUGAGUCGUGUCCUAAUUUGCUCUGAGCGAAUCUAGCUUCCUAUUUUAUCCAAGAAAUAAGAUGCUGGACUCAUUGAAUUUUUUUUCAUUGUUUUCAGAGAACCUUGACAACUGCAUAGAUUAUUUUUAAAGACAAUAAGCAUCUUUAAUGAUGCAGAUUUAUUAUUUGUGCGAAUGCAUUAAAUAACAAUUCUAUUAAGCUGAUGCUUCAAUUAUUGAAGUUAUU
RNAcentral lists this transfer RNA (551 nucleotides) under uncultured Prochlorococcus sp. RNAcentral describes it as "partial 16S-23S ribosomal RNA intergenic spacer". The stretch from base 211 to 283 matches the Rfam family "tRNA". The record is from RNAcentral. Lineage: Bacteria; Bacillati; Cyanobacteriota; Cyanophyceae; Synechococcales; Prochlorococcaceae.